AGCACGAUGGAGCGCACGUGGAAACGAGCUUUAAAGGAACUCGAUAUGGUUGGGUGCUCGUACGAAAUACUGGGCGAAAUAAUGAUGCCGUGAAACGAGGUACGAUCUCUGGCGGCUCCCAGAAAUCUCGUGUGUACAAAUUAACGAUGGAAUUCGAUUACGUGAGUGCACAUACAUUUAAAGUUGAAUACGGAUGGGAGAUUGAUGAAAAUGACGUUCGCAUCAUUCGAAACACUUCGCGCUUACAGUGUUAAAUUAUGUGGAUAAUACAUUUCUCAUAUUAUUAUCGUUGUUCUUUGCCAUUUAUGGAACAGUGUUUAAAUACAUUUUCUGUUGAAACGAGCCUCGUGUUCUCUGUAUCCGCAAAGAUCGAACAGAAGCCGGAUUAUCGUCUCGAUCGCGAUCGUUGCUUGUGACUGGGAUCGCCGACUGUUCGAACAAAAGCAUUGCAAACGGAUAAAUCUUUGUGGAAACACGAUUCCAAGUACCUUUUGUUCCUCCCUCGUUCAGAAAUUAAUUUAAAAUUGAUACGCUGAUUUGGAAGCAUAAAUCCUGUUAUUAUUAAUAACACGUUACAAAUGACGUGGAGAUAUUAUAAUUAUCUAUGAUGAAGAUCGCGUGUGUCAUAAAAAUCUAGGAAGAAAUGAAACUUAGCCCGGAAUCUUAAUUAAACCAUCACUGGUGUGAAAAUAAUUGGCGAAUUUACUAUUCCUUUGAUGUCAGAUAACAUAGAUUUCUCCUAAUUAAGCUUGACUUACGCCAACAAGAUUUGUCCAUCAAUUCCAUAAGACCUAGAAUUAAAAUUGAUACUUUCAAAACGAUACGAAACAAAGCAUUUCGUACAAUUCAAAUAAUUUUUUUAAAAAAAUUUGAAAACUAAACGAUAAAAAUUUAAAAAAAAAAUUGUGUAAAGAAACAAUCUAAAUUUAAUAAUUCUCUUAUAUGUUAUAUAUAAGUAAAUAUUAUAUAUUCAGCAUUAUAUUCUUGAACAGAAACAAAAUUCAAAAAUAUAUGUGUUAGAAAAAAAUGUUUUAUAAAAACAUAUCACAGUACACUACACAUUCAAUGUGAUGUAAAUUCACUGUUGGAUUUCAAUCUAUAAGUUGAGAAACGCUGAUCUAUAUAACACUAUUUUCUAUAACAUUGUAUAUCAAAUGGAAAAUAUAAAUCUUCUUUUAAUCUUUUCAUAUAGGUCGAAUAUUUGACAAAAAUAACGAGUUAACUAGCCACAGUACAUCACGUAUUUUCCAAAUGAAGCAAUUCUAAUUCAAUCCAUUUGAAAAACGAUUUGAAUCCAAGUCAAUGAUCGAUGGAGGAAAACAACUCAAGGGUCACCGUCCGUUCGUAUCAAAAGAAGGAUAUUUCCAGGAUCUUUUCUAGAUAGGACAGGCGUGCACAGGCAGAGUAUGUGUCGUGGCCGAUAAUUAUCGACGAGGCUGAUCGUGCGUGCGGCCAGAAAAAUGGCGAGCAACGGGACAGGUCGGUCGGCGACUACUGCCUAGACCGCGGUCUCCUGUCGAUGUCGAAUGAAGAUGUCCCGGCUACGUUCUCCCUUGCCUACGUACCAGCUGGAAUAAGUGUGGGUAAUUUGCUCGACUGGCUAGACCACUUGUUUUGCGGAGGGAACCGAUGCCGUUUAAGAGACCGUGCCACCGAGCAAAUCCUCGUUCACGUAUGUGUUACGUAAUCCAUGUGCACGAUUAUUGUAUUGGAUGAAAAUGGAUCUGUGAGAGAUGGAUUUAUGAUUUUGGAAGAUAGAUUUUUCUUGUAUAAAAUCAUGGGAUAAGAACAUGGACAAAGUUUGCAAUUAUGGAAUAAUGAUAUUGAAAUUUGAUCUCAAGAGUUAAAAAAGAUAUAAUCAUGUUUUGAUAAUGUUUUAUGAAAGAAACUCUUGCUACAUCAUCAAUUAGUAAUACAAAUUAUUUUAUGUAUAAAAAGAAAGAAUAUAAGAAUACAAGAUUAGUGAAAAAUAUUUGAGAAAUAGACCAUUAAUGAAAUGUGUGAAUUUUUAACAACAAAAGUUGUUAUCUUGUCUUUAACUGAUUAAAAUUCUAGAUUUUCGAGAAUUUCAAGGUAGUCUAGUUUGUCUUGACAUGCAAAAAUGUGAUUUUUGAUCAAACAUCUAAAACAUUCGAUAAGAGAUAUGACUCAAAUGCGUUUAAAAAAAAAAUAGUUGAAGGCUGAUUGCAUGAAACAUGCAAAGUGAAAAUAGGUGUCGAACACGAAAUAAGAAUAAUAAAAUAUCUAAUUGAAAGGUAUAGAUUAGUCAGACACGAUAUCAAAGUUAAUUGCAACUUAGAGCAAAGAAAUGAGAAAACGCAAAGUAUUCAGUCGACCUUUGACAACUCGCUCGGAACACAGAGAGGCCAUACGUCAGGAAGACCGGUUAAUGGACACCAAAGUAACAACCGGCAGGUUUCCCUUUACUCUGUGCUAUGCGUUUAAGCAACAAGGGCCGGUGGGUAGAAUUAAUGAGGCACCAGUUUCCAGUAAUGUUAGUCGUGAUAGGAUCGACGGAUCAAAAUGCAGAUUUGUACGGAUGAAGAUUCUGGCACCGGUUCGAUUGCUGUACAUGUUCCAAUUUAAUGGUUUAAAUGCUACUAUGUUGUUAAGGUCAAGAUGUAUUUAGAGAUGUAUUUAGAGAUGUAUUUAGAGAUGUAUUUAGAGCUCGCGAUUAAACAUUUGAUAAAUAUUUUUUGAUCAACCAUUGAAGAUAUUUUAUAACAUAAAUAUUUAAUAAUUUUAGAUUUUUCAAAUUUUAUUUCUUUAUAAAUGAAAGUAAUAUUUUGGAAAGUAAUUAAAAUGUAUUGAUUCAGAAGAUAGAUUCUAAAAAAUUAUAAAAAUAAUUAUUUGUUUCAAAAUUUUGAUCAAUAGGAAAUUAAGUAUAUUAAUGUUAAGUACUUGUUAAUAUUAAGAAAGCAAAUAAGAAGAAAAAAAAUUAAUAACAUUGAUUGAAGCUCAAUUUACAUAUAGUGAAUAAUCAAUUGUAGAAACAAUACUAAUUGUACAAUGUGUAUAGUUUUAUAGAUAUGUCAUACUUAGUUGUGCAAGUAUAUAGAAAAUUAUAGGAUGCAUCGUUAUCAUUCAAAGACUUAUAAUAUACCUUAUUCAAACUAUGUUAGAUAUAUGAAGUCUUUCAACAUUUUCUAAGAUUAUCAUGAACCUAUGAUUUUAAAUGAUGAUUUGAAUGACUUGACAUUUUUGUAUUGAAUAUAUGAUGUGCCAUUUCAAUGAAAUCUAUUUCUGAAUAGAAA
This 3254-nucleotide long non-coding RNA is filed under the name Apis mellifera (honey bee). Its description in RNAcentral is "uncharacterized LOC107964820, transcript variant X1". The record is from RNAcentral. Lineage: Eukaryota; Metazoa; Arthropoda; Insecta; Hymenoptera; Apidae.